Long non-coding RNA from Grammomys surdaster, 1205 nucleotides. RefSeq lists it as uncharacterized. NCBI's taxonomy places the organism in Eukaryota, Metazoa, Chordata, Mammalia, Rodentia, Muridae. The record is from RefSeq and is a predicted model, not a curated record. The transcript has 2 exons.
CGGGGAAGCGCGACUGACUCAGGUGGCCAGACUUGGGCCCCUAGCAUCGUCUCCAUCCUGCCUCUUCUGCAAGCAUGUGUGUGACUCCUGUGUCAGUGUCCCUGGCACAAAGAAUGUAACACUUGAGCUGAUGGGGGCCUCUGCAUCCAGAGACCUGGGACAAAAGCGGCCCACUGGAUAUCCCAAAAGACCUACAUCAUUCCCACCAGCUGGGCUGCUGGCCGGUAGCAAAGAACAAAACGGAAAUUUCAUGAAUACAAUCCAGUUACUUAGCAUUAUGCAACAGGUCAGAUGGCAGAGCAGAGCACUGGACUGAGAAUCUGGAUUUUGGAGGGCAGCCGACACCUACCUCUGAUUUCCCAAACAGUCUCGAAAGGGAUGCUUGGGAACUCCAGCUGAGAGCAGGGUUGGAGUCCAACAGCACAAAACAGACUCACCUUCUCCCAUCACAAGUGAUCAAAACACUGUAAAACUGUAAUAUAAGUUUUAUUGUUUCCUGGACUAGCCACUGCGGGGCUUUUUUUGGAAAUAACAAACAUGACUUUUCAUGACUCCUGCUGUAGGUAAUCUUUCCGUAUCUCCACAAUAAAGGCUCUGCUCCAGGGAGGCUCCACCUUGGUCCUUCUGAGCUCUGCUUACUGAGAUUCUUGUCUUAAUAUAGCCCACUAAUUGUAGGUCCCCAAAAGGAGCACCCGCAGGUCCCUGGAAAGGUUCCACUAGCCACAGCCCUGACAGUCAGCCAAGUGAACAAAGCCCCUUACCCUAAGGCUAACUUGAGCAGGGUUGCAGAUUGGCUUCUGGAAAUUGUUCACAGCUUCACUGGCCCUUUGGAGCCUCUCUUCUUGGUUCGACCGGAUCCUAAGGUCCUGGAUAUAGCUGCCUUCUCUUGACACCUCCCUCCUUACAAGUCUUGUCACCUUUGAGGGAUUGGAGAAUGCCAGCUAUGGAUGAGAUGCCCAUCCCAUUCUGAACAGCCUAACUUCAGAAUGCUUCUGGAACAGAAUUGGAUCCCUCCUCCAGCAGCCAGAGUUGGUACCCAGCUGUCAGAGCAAAAGCCAACACCCUGACAUCGCACGGGUGUGCCAUGGCUCCAGCCAGUUGCCCACACAAGACACACUGUGUUCACACACACUAUCAGUCCACUACUGUCCCCUCACCAAACAUCAUCCUGUGCCAACUGCUGUGACAUUAAAGAUAAGCUAACA